GGCCGACUGGCGUAGCGGUUAUCGCGUCUCUUUUACAUCUCUCGAGGAUGCAGAGAAGGUCACUAGUUCGAUCCUGGUGUUGGUCA
Molecule: transfer RNA, 86 nt
Filed under: Cyphobasidiales sp. Tagirdzhanova-0007
Lineage: Eukaryota; Fungi; Basidiomycota; Cystobasidiomycetes; Cyphobasidiales
Description: tRNA-Val
Source: RNAcentral